Molecule: ribosomal RNA, 125 nt
Filed under: Agaricomycotina sp.
Lineage: Eukaryota; Fungi; Basidiomycota
Description: partial small subunit ribosomal RNA
Rfam family: Eukaryotic small subunit ribosomal RNA
Source: RNAcentral
CCUUUGUACACACCGCCCGUCGCUACUACCGAUUGAAUGGCUUAGUGAGGUCUCCGGAUCGGCGGCAGGGAGCCGGCAACGGCACCCAGUUGCUGAGAAGCUGAUCAAACUUGGUCAUUUAGAGG